UACGUAGGUCCCGAGCGUUAUCCGGAUUUAUUGGGCGUAAAGGGAACGCAGGCGGUCUUUUAAGUCUGAUGUGAAAGCCUUCGGCUUAACCGGAGUAGUGCAUUGGAAACUGGGAGACUUGAGUGCAGGAGAGGAGAGUGGAACUCCAUGUGUAGCGGUGAAAUGCGUAGAUAUAUGGAAGAACACCAGUGGCGAAAGCGGCUCUCUGGUCUGUAACUGACGCUGAGGUUCGAAAGCGUGGGUAGCAAACAGG
Molecule: ribosomal RNA, 253 nt
Filed under: uncultured bacterium
Lineage: Bacteria
Description: partial 16S ribosomal RNA
Rfam family: Bacterial small subunit ribosomal RNA
Source: RNAcentral